RNAcentral lists this ribosomal RNA (1567 nucleotides) under Lactiplantibacillus plantarum. Its description in RNAcentral is "16S ribosomal RNA". It matches the Rfam family "Bacterial small subunit ribosomal RNA". The record is from RNAcentral. Lineage: Bacteria; Bacillati; Bacillota; Bacilli; Lactobacillales; Lactobacillaceae.
UAAUUUGAGAGUUUGAUCCUGGCUCAGGACGAACGCUGGCGGCGUGCCUAAUACAUGCAAGUCGAACGAACUCUGGUAUUGAUUGGUGCUUGCAUCAUGAUUUACAUUUGAGUAAGUGGCGAACUGGUGAGUAACACGUGGGAAACCUGCCCAGAAGCGGGGGAUAACACCUGGAAACAGAUGCUAAUACCGCAUAACAACUUGGACCGCAUGGUCCGAGCUUGAAAGAUGGCUUCGGCUAUCACUUUUGGAUGGUCCCGCGGCGUAUUAGCUAGAUGGUGGGGUAACGGCUCACCAUGGCAAUGAUACGUAGCCGACCUGAGAGGGUAAUCGGCCACAUUGGGACUGAGACACGGCCCAAACUCCUACGGGAGGCAGCAGUAGGGAAUCUUCCACAAUGGACGAAAGUCUGAUGGAGCAACGCCGCGUGAGUGAAGAAGGGUUUCGGCUCGUAAAACUCUGUUGUUAAAGAAGAACAUAUCUGAGAGUAACUGUUCAGGUAUUGACGGUAUUUAACCAGAAAGCCACGGCUAACUACGUGCCAGCAGCCGCGGUAAUACGUAGGUGGCAAGCGUUGUCCGGAUUUAUUGGGCGUAAAGCGAGCGCAGGCGGUUUUUUAAGUCUGAUGUGAAAGCCUUCGGCUCAACCGAAGAAGUGCAUCGGAAACUGGGAAACUUGAGUGCAGAAGAGGACAGUGGAACUCCAUGUGUAGCGGUGAAAUGCGUAGAUAUAUGGAAGAACACCAGUGGCGAAGGCGGCUGUCUGGUCUGUAACUGACGCUGAGGCUCGAAAGUAUGGGUAGCAAACAGGAUUAGAUACCCUGGUAGUCCAUACCGUAAACGAUGAAUGCUAAGUGUUGGAGGGUUUCCGCCCUUCAGUGCUGCAGCUAACGCAUUAAGCAUUCCGCCUGGGGAGUACGGCCGCAAGGCUGAAACUCAAAGGAAUUGACGGGGGCCCGCACAAGCGGUGGAGCAUGUGGUUUAAUUCGAAGCUACGCGAAGAACCUUACCAGGUCUUGACAUACUAUGCAAAUCUAAGAGAUUAGACGUUCCCUUCGGGGACAUGGAUACAGGUGGUGCAUGGUUGUCGUCAGCUCGUGUCGUGAGAUGUUGGGUUAAGUCCCGCAACGAGCGCAACCCUUAUUAUCAGUUGCCAGCAUUAAGUUGGGCACUCUGGUGAGACUGCCGGUGACAAACCGGAGGAAGGUGGGGAUGACGUCAAAUCAUCAUGCCCCUUAUGACCUGGGCUACACACGUGCUACAAUGGAUGGUACAACGAGUUGCGAACUCGCGAGAGUAAGCUAAUCUCUUAAAGCCAUUCUCAGUUCGGAUUGUAGGCUGCAACUCGCCUACAUGAAGUCGGAAUCGCUAGUAAUCGCGGAUCAGCAUGCCGCGGUGAAUACGUUCCCGGGCCUUGUACACACCGCCCGUCACACCAUGAGAGUUUGUAACACCCAAAGUCGGUGGGGUAACCUUUUAGGAACCAGCCGCCUAAGGUGGGACAGAUGAUUAGGGUGAAGUCGUAACAAGGUAGCCGUAGGAGAACCUGCGGCUGGAUCACCUCCUUU